Molecule: long non-coding RNA, 10820 nt
Organism: Homo sapiens (human)
Lineage: Eukaryota; Metazoa; Chordata; Mammalia; Primates; Hominidae
Exons: 2
Source: RefSeq, a predicted model, not a curated record
UUUUUUUUUUUUUUUUUUUUUUUUUUUGAGAUAGAGUCUUGCUCUGUGGCCCAGGCUCAAGUGCAGUGACGUGAUCUCGGCCCAUUGCAACCUCCGCCUUCCAGGUUCAAAUGAUUCUCCUGCCUCAGCCUCCUGAGUAGCUGGGAUUACAGGACUGUGCCACCACACCUGGCUAAUUUUUGUAUUUUUAGUAGAGACAAGGUUUCCCCACGUUGGCCAGGCUGGUCUUGAACUCCUGACCUCAAGUGAUCCACCCACCUCGGCCUCCCAAAGUGCUGGGAUUACAGGCGUGAGCCACCAUGCCCAGCCCAUUCCUUCUUUUCCAUUCCCACUGACACCAUCCUAUGUUCAGGCCCUAAUUAUACCCCACCUCUGUUAACAUCUUCAUUGUUGUUUACUGUUGCCCUAACACCCUCCAAUCAACCAUUCAUCGAUGCCACAAGAUCCAGCUUCCUAAAAUCCAGCCAUACCAACAUACCAGUACACCAACGGCCUGCUCCAAGAUCUUCAACAACUCCUAUUAUCCACUGAUUUAAGGAAUGAUGAUAGCUCUAUGUGCCAGAAACUUUACAUACAUUAUCUUAUUUAAUCUUUUCAGUAAUCUUUCAAUGUAAGUGUUAUUACCCUCAUCCCCGUUUUCAGGCAGGACUUGCCCAGGUUUGCACAGCAGCACCAGAAAAACCCCGUGUCUGUCUGACUGUAUGACCCUUCGUCACCUCUUUACAAUACAUCCUGCUGUAAUCUAGGCCGCUGGACAUUCACAAUGGCUCUCUAGUUCAUCUUUCUAGCUGUGUCUAUCACUACCUAUAUCUUAUAGGGUCUACAUUGUUGAGCCAUAUAAAGGUGCCAUUUUUGUAGGUCAAAAAUGGUGAAGUGUGGACAAUUUCAAGUGGUUCAACUAUAUAUGUGUAUAUAUAUUGGUGUACAUAUACAUUUAUAAAGAUACAUGUACAGUUUUGCAUAUUACAUAUGCAUACAUAUAUGUGCAGUAAGUCUUCACUUCACCAAUAGGUUUUUGGAAACUGCAAUUUUAAGUGAAACAAUGUAUAACAAAAUCAUGUUUUUUUCUCCUUUACGUUAUAACAAAAUGAUAUGAAUGAAAUGAUAUUAUUGGAGGACUUGCUGCACAUUAUCAGUUCUCUUGAAGUCAAAGUGCCGUGGACAGUUACUAUAUAUAUAUAUAUAUACACACACACAUACCCUCAUAUACGUGUCUGUGCGUAUAUAUAUUCUGUAUCAGUAUCUCUCACCCAAGGUGAUUUUUCCCCCAACCCCAAGGUCAAUUGGCAAUGUCUGGAGACAUUCCGGGUUGUUACCACUGGGGUCGGAGUGUCACUAGCAUCCAGUGGGUUGACAGCGAGAUGCCGCUACACAGCCUACAGCUCACAGGACAGCCCCCACAACAAAGAAUUAUCCGGCCAAAAUGUCAGUCAUGCUGCAGCUGAGAAACCAUUUCCUCUAUUGAAGAAGAGCUGUGGAUGCCCUGUCUUCUUUCUGGAAUGCUGAUUUCUGCCAUCUCCACCUGUUGAAAUACUGCUUACCCUCCAAGAUGCCUUCAGUGCUCUUUGCACCUGGAUCUUUUGCUGGUGGAGAGGCAUCCUCGCUCAUGUCCUUGGCCCUCCACUGCUAUUUAACAUGCACCACAUAUUACUUCUUUGAGUUACCAUUAGCAUUUCUGUCUUAAAGCUGAAAAUAUAAUAGACUUACCGUAAACUCCACAAGGGCAAAUACCCACUUCUUGCUUAUCUUUGUACCUUCUUUAGAUCCUAGUAAUUUAACUAAAAUACAAAGCAGACCAUGAAAAGUAAUGGAAUAUUAAAGAUACUGUACUAGCCUUAUUGGACUGUACAAAAAAAUUAAUUCUGGUCAGAAGACUUCUAGGAGAUGGCGUUGAACCUGCCCUGUUCCUAGCAAAUUUUCUCUCUGACAAAGUACCAACUCUUUUGCAAUUAUGUGUGAAAGUGUUUAAGCUUCCAACCUGUGUGAGUAUUUAGGGAUCCUUAAGACUGCUAAGUUAAUUGGGGUGAUGGCUUUUCUGAAAUGCUAGGUUUUAUAAAAUUAAGGACCACACCUGAAUUAUACAGCACAGUGCAAUGUCCGAAUGAUGACCGAAGCCUGCCUCUGUGGGUGAUAAGGCAUAGCAUUGCCUAGGUGGGGAGUCACCGAGGCCUGCAGUAUUGACUAUGUUAUGAUGAUUGUGAAACAGUCUCUACAUAUUUAAGAGGCACUCCUUUUCACAGAGUAAGAAAAGCUAACCCGUAGGACAGUCAGCCACCUCCAUUACACAACUGUAACCUCAAGCAUAAGUUUGUAGAGUUCCCAGAAUUACCCUCACCAUCCCUCUUGGGAGUUCCCCUCUUUCAAAAACCUCUGGACUCCUUUCUGUCUCAGCAGAGACUGAAGGGAGGGAGGGAGAUGACCAAAUCCUUAAUCAGAAACUUCCUGACCACACCUGUGCCUUACCGGCUCAUGAGUAGCACCUGUUCCCCAGGAUAGACACCUGAGUCACCCUCUUACUAAUUCUCCUCUGGCCAAACCCCAGAAUCUGUCAAUCCCGCUCUGUCCUCACCCGCCUUCAUCGUGGGAGAUUUCACCUUCUCUUGCCCAGCCCAUGGGAACAGCCCAUGAUUCAACUCCACUGCAGCCGCAGUUCACAAUACAGAAUUCUAAUCCAAGGAAGUCGCUCCUUUGACUGAAAACCUUCCAUGACUCUCCAUUACCUACCAAUCACUAGAGCACAAUUAUAACUCCAAGUACUAAUCUGUUUUCCCCACACCAGGUGUUCCUCUGUCUUCUCUCCCACCACACCCAGGGAAACCCCUGGUGUCCAGGAAACCAAAGCUAAAGAUGAAAAACUUCUGACUUUGAUGUCGUGGUUUCCAAGUGCAGCCUAAGGUAGAAAGAUUUGGAGGCAUAUUUGAGCCUUUCUGAUUGCAAACCCUUGCUAAGACUGGCCUGGGCUGCAAGACAAGAUACUGUGAGUGGUGGGGGAGGAAUUGGCACAACUGAGGAAGGCGAGAAAGGAGUCAGGUGAGUGAGGUCCUCGGUGCAGUAAAAAUGGGUGGAGGAACAAGAGAGCAGAGAUAACUUGGGCCCAGUUGUCCUCAGACUAGUCCAUUGCCUUGGACAGCCUGUUCUCCCAUAGUCCUGGGUGCAUACAGAGUCCUGAAUAGAGGGACUUAUAUGGGGAAUCAGGCUUGAAGGGGAGGUUGUGCUCGUCAAUGGAAGUUGAACAGAACGAAGUCGGUAGAGAAUUGAUUUUCACUUAGGAUGGGUGAGGAUUUAGCUCUCGGCUUCCACUAUUCCCUUUGCUUCCUAUCACCAUCUUCUUUGGUUAUAAUUUUGGAUUAAAUAACAUUUGGUAUUAAUAUUUUUAUAAUCACACAAGGGUUAUUCACAACUGAGCAGCAUCAUAAACUCUGAUUGGUCCCUUCUUGCUUUGAUGUUUUUCCUGAGGAUAAUAGUUGCCUUGUUUUUCAUUGCUCAGUUUCUUUGUGCCUGUAAUUUUCCCCAUGCUUUUCAAUAGCCUCUCAGUGCUAUUCUCAGCAAGGUCAAUAACCUCAGUUAAUCAGCUGGGUCCACUUUGUUUGUGGAGAUAUCCUCCGCUGCAAACCUCUUUACUCUUCUGUCUGGAAUGAUUGCAUAGGUCGUAUCCUGGGACUUCCCUUUACAUCCCCCCAACCCAGCUUUAUUGAAGUAUGAUUGUCAAAUAAAAUAAAAUAUGUAUAUACUUAAAGUAAAUAACAUAUGUAUGCCUUGUAUUCCUCAAUCAAGCUAAUAUAUUUAUCACUUCACAUAGUUAUGUGUGUAUGGAAUUUCAAGUGUACAGUAUAUUAUUAAGUGUAGUCACCAUGCUGUACUUAGAUUCCCAGAACAUAUUCAUCUUACUACUGCAAGUUUGUACCCCUUGACCAACGUCUCACCAUUCCUUUCCCUGCUUCCCAGCCCUUGUCCAUCCCCAUUCCACCUGCUGUUUCUAGGACUUCUUUAGGUUCCACAUAUAAAUGAGAUCAUGCAGUACUUGUCUUUCUGUGUCUAGUUUAUUUCACUUAAUAUUAUGUCCUCCAGGCUUAUCCAUGUUGUCGCAAAUGCAGGAUUUUCUUUUCUUUUUUUAGGGAUAAAUCACAUUUUAUUGUAUAUAUACCACAUUUUUAAUCCAUUCGUCCAUCACUGGAUCCUUAGAUUGUUUCAUUAUCUUGGCUAUUGUGAGUAAUGCAGCAAUAAACAUGGGGCUGCAGAGAUCUUUUAUAUCCUUUGCAUAUAUACACAGAAGAAGGAUUGCUGGAUUAUAUGGAAUUUAUUUCUUUUCUUUUCUUUUUUAUUUUAAGAGACGACCUGUCACUCAGGUUGGAGUGCCAUGGUGCAAUCAUAGUUCACUGCAGCCUCGACCUCUCAGGCUCAAGCAAUCAUCUUGCCUCAGCAUCCUGAGUAGCUGGGACUACAGGUAUGUGCCACCAUGUCCAGCUAAUAUUUUUACUUUUUGUAGAGGUAGGGUCUCACUAUGUUGCCCAGGCUGGUCUUGAACUCCUGGCCUCAAGCAAUCCCUUCUGCCUCAGCCUCCCAAAGUGCUGGGAUUACAGGCGUGGGCCACUGUGCCCAGCCUCUCAUAAGGCAGUUUCAUUUUUAGUUUUAUUUUUGCAGAGCCUUCAUACUGUCUUCCAUAGUGGCUGUGCCAGUUUACAUUCCCGUCAACCGUGGGAAUGUUUCCUUUUCAUCACAUCUGGCCACUUGUUAUCUUUUGAUUUCCCCCCAGCUGUAUUUAGAUAUGAUGAACAAAUCUUUUUACUUUAACUCAUGGAAUUCCUUCUGCCUUUUUCCUGCUUGGAUUCUCUGUUUCCUGGAUCUCACAUCUUCCUAUUUUUUGACUUUAUCUCCUUGGUUGGUGGAGCACAUCCUCCCAUUGUUUCAUCCCAGGGAGGAGGUGGCACGAGGCUGAGGAGGCAGUGACAUCGAUAGUGGCGUGCUGCCUCAGAGUCACACGGCCUGUUCUGGCUGGGGUGCCUGCUGUGCCCUACACUUAUUUGUCAUUGCAGAAUUUUUUAUUGUUGUUCAGCUGAAGAUUUACAUCAUCCUAGAGAUUUCCAUUUCCUUCUAGGUUGGACUUCUUAAUAUUCUAUAUUCCAUGUCUUCCUUUAUCUUGGCUCAUUCUCUUCUUUGGGGGAAGCUACCCUCUGGCUGCUUCCUGGAAAAUGAUAUGGGCAAUUACUUUUGUUGUUGUUGAGAACUUACAUGUCUGCACCUGUUUUGUGCUGCCAUCAGAUCUGCUCGAUAGUUGUGGUUAGAAUUCUACUUGGGAAAUCAUUGUCCUUUUGGGUUUUGAAGGCAAUACUCCAUUGCCUUCUAUUUUUCCAGUGUUGACAUUUGCAAGUCCCCGAUCCUUUGUAUGUGACCUGUCUUUUUCUUCGGAAAUUUGAAACACAUUCUCUUUACGCUCGGUAUUCUGAAAUAUCAUUUUUCUUGGGCGUCUGACAAUUGGUUUUCCUGGGGCUAAGAGUGGGGGACUAGACAACUGAUUACAAGCUCUGUGCACCUAGGCGGUCAUCGUCAGCUUGCAGCUUAUUCUAGGAUGGACCAUUCUCAGGGUCUCUAGGUUUUUCCUCUUUCACUGAUUAGAAUCCCAGGGGAGACUUCCAAUUUCCUGCCUAGAUAUUAAAGAUCUGGCUGCCAAUGUUCUGAGAAGCAAGUUAGGAAGAAGGAAGUGAGUUUCUGCAUUGGUAUUUAUAUGUACAGGUUCAUUUAAUCUCCACAUAGGCCAAAGACCCUCUGUUCUACUCUUUCCAGACUUCUACUCUGGGCAGCCUUCCUGAGCCUUGGAGUUUAAGUGCCCAGUGGGUUCCUCUUGCCUGCUGUCCAGACAGAGUUGAUUUAUUAAGGCAAGGAAGUUGAAACAGAGAAAGAGUUUUGCACACGUAGAGCUGGCUGAAUGGGAGGUCAAGGUUUUAUUAUUCCCCAAAUCAACCUCCCUGAAAGUCGGGAGGUUAGGGUUUUUCAAAGAUUGUUUGGGGUAAGAGAGGAGUGGUGGCUAGGCUGGGUGUUUCCUGCUGAUUGGUCAAGGCUGCCAUCACUGGGCUGUGGGAAAUGGUUCUCCUGGCGCUGAGUCACUUCUGGUUGGGGCCACAGGAGGGGUUGGUGGGUCCAGGUGGGGUCAUCAGUGUCAGACAUGCAAAAAACCUGAAAAGACAUCUUAAAAGGCCAAUCUUAGGUUCUACAAUAGUGAUGUUAUCUUCAGGAGUCAUUGGGGAAGUUACACACCUUGUGAACUCCGCAAUAAUGUCUGGUAAUAAUUUAUGUGUACACCUUAGCAGAAUUUGGGCUCCUCUCAUCCUCCCAGCUUGGUGGCCUUUCAUUAGUUUUACAAAAGCAAUUUUGUUUGGAGAAGGACUAUUAUCAUUUAAACUAUAAGCUAAAUAUCUCCCAAAGUUAGCUUGGCCCAAGCCCAGGAAUAGUUAAGGGCAGUUUGAAGGCUAAAGGCAAGAAAGGAGUUGGCUAAACCAGAUUUCUUUCACUGCCAUGAUUUUCUCACUGUUAUAAUUGUUGCAAAGGUGGUUUCAGGGGGACUGGCUCACAAUGGACUCUGGGCUUCUGUUUUCUCUUGCCACCUAUCUACAAGCAAGAAUCCCACUUCAUGUAACUAGAUUUGGGGUGGGGUGGGGAUGGCGUGUUCUGUCUCACCAGACUCAGACAAGUUGUUAACCAGUUCCCUGUGAACCUACUUCACAAAACUGGCCCAGUGAGCAGGGUCUGGUCUGACAGGACCAUGGCUUCUUGGCAAAGUGGGAGGGUGGUACCCCUCAGUACCCAGCCCAGGCAGAGACAUCAGCCUGGGGGUGCAGGGGGCUGGACAUGAAGCUGGAAGUUUUAUAGAGAAGGAAGGGUGAUAAGUGGAACAGAGGUCACCCUCCCUACACACACAAACACACACACACACACACACACACACACACACACAGAUGAGAGAGAGCUGGCUGUAGGGACUGACAUGGGGAGAAAAGAAUAUGGAAAUGAGAGCAUGGCACACAACCCCCUGGUUGCUGGGCACUCAUGUGAUCACUCAUUCCCGGGGCUGGAGAGUUCAGGAGUGGGUACGCAGGUGGACCCUGGGGUACCCGAGAGGGAACCCGCAUGCACAAUGUGGGUCUUCACAGAAAAGGAGAAUUUGGAUCUAAGGGACAGAUGUGGGCAAAAUGCAGGGGAGGCCAUGUCGUGGCUCUCUGGGAUAGCUGAUGAGAGAGGACAGAAGAAAUGGUGCAAUUAAGGGUGGGGACAAGGUCUCCAGGCCCCCACCAUGCUCCUGUCAAAGAAGAGAAAAAUUAAACUGAUGCCAUCGGCAGGUUUGAGGACAGACAUGGCGACUGACAGUGCCUAUUUGCUGUGGGUGGGGCCCUUUGAGCCAUUUUGGGCACAGUGACCACGGUUCCCACCUCUGCACUGUAGCAGGGGUCCCAACCCCCUGGGCCACAGACUGGUACUGACCUGUGGCCUGUUAGGAACCAGGUCGCACAGCAGGAGGUGAGCAUGGACGAGGGAGUAUCACCACCUGAGCUCCGCCUCCUGUCAGAACAGCGGCGGCAUUAGAUUCUCACAGGGGCACGAGCCCCACUGUGGACUGCGCAUGCGAAGGACUUAGGUUGCGUGCACCUUACGAGAAGGUAAUGGUAAAUAUAAUGGGCUUGAAUCGUCUUGAAAGCAUCCACUCCCCUGUCUUGGAAAAACUGUCUUCCACAAAACCAGUCCCUGGUGCCAAAAUGGUUGAGGACCUCUGCAUUAUAGGCAUCGACACUUGGGCUGCUGUGGCACAGAACGUCACACCACCUAGACGGCAUGCCCUCACAGCAACAGCGGCGCAGAUCCACUCCUGCCUACCACCUAAGCUCCCCAAGCCCCAGUGGGGUGUUCAACAAAAGCAGUACUGAAUGCAAAGUGGAGAACAGGACUUUGCGUUAAUUCUGAUAAAAAUGUUACAAACCAUUCUGUCGCAAUGUGACGGUUGACUUUGGCUGGUCAAAAAGACCUUCAGGGGAUGGAGACCAACAACAGACUGUUGCAGGCUGAACGCCAAGGCCACUUGGGCAGGAAGCCAAAGAAAUAUCCCAGAUGCCAUCAAGCAAAAACUGUUGGCCUGGCAGCAUCCACUAAUCAAGAGGAGGUUCCAUAGCAGGUAGGUCUCUUUGAGUGCUGGAGACAGCAUAUACCCACCUUGUGUUCUUUUGCCCUCCUUAGUCAAGGUGACAGGCAAAGCUGCCAACUUUGAACAGGGCCCUUUGUAAUAGCAGGACUUGGAAGUCACUUAACAACUUUUGUCUGGGGCACAGCCUUUAAAACUUUUAGAGUCUGCUAGCCCAAUGGAAUUAUAGGUGUCUGCCAUCUCCACACGUGCCAAUUGGAGCCUCUUGCAACAGGAAACUGCCACUGGGGUGCACCGGCCUCAGGUUUUGGACACGUAAUUCCUAAAGCAGCCCCCAGAUGUACAUCUAUUGAAUGGCAACUGCUUGAUUGCUACUGGGCAGUGCAGGAAACUGGACAUCCACAUGUGAUGUUGCAACCUGAACUGUCCAACUUGAAUGCUUACAAAUUCCACCAAUAAAAUCAAACAGGCUCAUCAGAGCUCAACUGUUAAGUGAAAAUAGUACCUUUAAGAUUGGAUCCAGCCAGUAUCCAAGGGGCCGGUGGGCUUCAUGAAUAAUGGCUAGCUUGACAGAAGGUACCAUGUGAGCUGACAGGGGUGCUUCAGCUCCUCCUGGGGCUACCUGGGACCCAAGAUUCAGAUUCAGAGACUGGACUGCCUAUGAUAUGGCAUGGCUUACUGACAGCUCUGCAAAACAACGAGCAGACAGGGUCCACUGGGCUGCGGCCACUGUCCAGCCAGUGAAUGGCUGUCUUUCAAUUGAGACUGCACAUGGAUGUUCUGUCCAACGGGCUGGACCACAGGCAGGGGUGAUGGCCAUGCAAGCCACCACCAUAUCUUGUUAGAUAUUCACUGAUUCAUGGACUGUGGCUAACAGCCUACAUGACUGUUCAGGAGAAUGGCUACUGAGUGGCUGGACUAUUAAAGGGUUUCCUGUUAAAGGACUAUGACAAUAGCUUGCUGCCUGGAAGGGACACAGAGAUGUCACUCAAGUGGAUGUUGAGACUACCAUGGCCGCCCUUGAGAGGAGCUUCUGUCAUGUUUUUGGAUAUCCCGGAACCUCACUCUGCCCAAGGAACAUCCUUCACUGCCUUAGCAGUAUAACAGUGGGUGCGUACUCACGAAAUAGGAUAGACUUUCCACGCGCGCUGUCACCUGCAGGCCAGCGGGGCUGCUGAAUGAUGGAACCAUUGCCCACAACGAAACCGAAGACAGGACAUCAAGAUGGCCUGCUAGCGGGGUGACACCAUCUGACUAGGGUAUUAUGGACCCUAAACUCUGUACUCCCGCACAAGGGAAGUGCCAAGACCAGCUCAGUCAGGGAGACCCUAACCCAGCGGCGCUAGAGGGAAGCGUGACACUGCAGGGCACAUUGAGAGACACUGGGCUUGUAAGGGUGACGGUGAUGGGGGGGCGGCAGGCAGCCACCUGAUUAGGCUGCACCUGUGAAAUCCCAAUCUCAGCAUUCCCAACCAUUCUUUUUCCCUUCUCCCUUUAGAGUGCAUGUCCUGAAGGUGGUUUGUGGUUCAGGCUGCCAUAGUACCCCAGACAGGGCCCCCAACUUGAACCUGGACUCAAUACUUCCCCUGGGGGUCUCCCCUCUAUGGGGUCCCACAGGAGUGGGGAUGGGACCAAGGAAUACCAAAGCGCUAGGGUCUCUCUAGUGGCAGGGGGAACAUCUGACUUUCCACUAGAAUGGGCAACAUUAUCGGACAUGUUGUUUGUACAGGACGUGAUACCCUUUCCUGGACUAGAUGACUGAGGCCUGAAGGUCUGAGUCAUGCAACAGGGGCCAUGGGUGCCACAGAGGUAGUGGCCUGGGCUGGGGCAGACAGACUUGGUCACUGCAGCAACUCAGCCCACCCUUGUCCACAGGUGGGGAACACCUGGAACUGCGAGUGGGGGAGGGGCACUAAUGUGUCUGCUUUUCCACAAAGACGUGGGAGCAGACGCCCAGGAGCCCAAUGCCUUUGUCAGGCUCUCUGAGCUGUAGCCCUCCCAGGCAACCUGGCAAACUGCUAGAUCUGCCCUUCUGGACCUCGUUCUGUCCCUGACCAGAGCAACCCUCUCAUCCCAUCAGCGGUGAAUGACAUCUGUGUGUCUGACACCACCACACACCCAACGGGGCCUGAGCCCUGGCUGACGGAGGGAGGCUCUGGCACCCAGGCAUGGGAGGGAGCUGGAGGUGCCAUGUUUUAACUUAACCGAUUCUGCAGCAAAAUGGCAUGAACACGACUAAUAAGCCUCUCCAUGGGCUGGUCCUUUGACACACCACACUCCUUUGUUUCCAUGGACAGGAGGUGUCCCCAUGCAAUAAAGAAAAUAAGAAUUGGAUUAGUAGCAGCCAUCUGUGCAGGGGAGACUGAGCUCCGCAACUCUGUGUCCAUGAGGCUUGGCUGGUUAACGACAAAUACUGAAACUCAGUCUUGGCCUGAACCUGGUGACCUGGAGCUGGUGGAAGGCCUGGUGAGAGACAGCUCAGACACUGGCUCACUCUUUCCUGGCUGAAGCCUGACUCCUGGUGGACAGAAACAUCAGCGACAGACUUCUAUUUUCAAACGUCUACAUACACAUCUUAGGGAAAGUUUAUUUAUCCCCUCAUUUUGUCAUUCAACAAAUAUGUACUGAUCACAUUCUACAUGCCAAGCAUGAUGGGAAUGUAAAAAUAAAUUUGAGAUGACGUCUUUGAGGAAAA